GGCAGGGUCUCCAUCUACCUCUCAGAGAUGAUAUUAGAAUAUAUUAAAUUCUUUUAUUAAAGAAAAGAAUCCAAAGAAGAGAUUUUUAAAACAAUUUAAAA
Molecule: long non-coding RNA, 101 nt
Organism: Sapajus apella (tufted capuchin)
Lineage: Eukaryota; Metazoa; Chordata; Mammalia; Primates; Cebidae
Exons: 3
Source: RefSeq, a predicted model, not a curated record